Molecule: ribosomal RNA, 590 nt
Filed under: Carabus lusitanicus helluo
Lineage: Eukaryota; Metazoa; Arthropoda; Insecta; Coleoptera; Carabidae
Description: partial large subunit ribosomal RNA
Rfam family: Bacterial large subunit ribosomal RNA
Source: RNAcentral
UUUUAAAUGGCCGCAGUAUUUUGACUGUGCAAAGGUAGCAUAAUCAUUAGUUUUUUAAUUAAAAGCUUGUAUGAAAGGCUGGACGAGGUAAAAUCUGUCUCUAUUUAAAUUAUAGUAGAAUUUAACUUUUAAGUUAAAAGGCUUAAAUAUUAUUAAAAGACGAGAAGACCCUAUAGAUCUUUAUAGUUUAUUAAAUUAAAUUAAUUUAGAAAUAUUAAUGUUUUAUUUAAUUAAGGUAUUUUAUUGGGGUAAUAAAAAGAUUGAAUUAAUUCUUUUUUAUAAUAAACAUUAAUUUAUGAAUAUUAAUGAUCCAGUUUUACUGAUUAUAAGAUUAAGUUACCUUAGGGAUAACAGCGUAAUUUUUUUAGAGAGUUCAUAUCGAUAAAAAAGUUUGCGACCUCGAUGUUGGAUUAAAGAUUAUUUUAGGUGUAGAAGCUUAAUAAUUUUGGUCUGUUCGACCAUUAAAUCUUUACAUGAUCUGAGUUCAGACCGGCGUAAGCCAGGUCGGUUUCUAUCUUUAAUAAAAUAGAAUAUUUUAGUACGAAAGGACCAAAUAUUUGAUAUAUUUAUAUUUAAUUUAUUGAAUAUUA